GGCAGCCGCGGUAAUUCCAGCUCCAAUAGCGUAUAUUAAAGUUGCUGCAGUUAAAAAGCUCGUAGUUGAAUUUCGGGACUAAUAUGUCGGUCGUGCCUUGGUACGUACUGGUAUUUUUGGUUUCUCCCUUCUGACGAACCUUGAUGUCAUUAAUUUGGUGUCUUGGGAAAUCAGGACUGUUACUUUGAAAAAAUUUAGAGUGUUUAAAGCAGGCUCACGCUUGAAUACAUUAGCGUGGAAUAAUGAAAUAGGACGUUUGAUUCUAUUUUGUUGGUUUCUAGGAUCGACGUAAUGAUUAAUAGGGAUAGUUGGGGGCAUUAGUAUUCAAUUGUCAGAGGUGAAAUUCUUGGAUUUAUUGAAGACUAACUACUGCGAAAGCAUUUGCCAAGGAUGUUUUCAUUAAUCAGGAACGAAAGUUAGGGGAUCGAAGACGAUCAGAUACCGUCGUAGUCUUAACCAUAAACUAUGCCGACUAGGGAUCGGAUG
This 486-nucleotide unclassified non-coding RNA is filed under the name uncultured Entrophospora. RNAcentral describes it as "SSU rRNA". It matches the Rfam family "Eukaryotic small subunit ribosomal RNA", at positions 569 to 1059 of the family's 1831-position model. Lineage: Eukaryota; Fungi; Glomeromycota; Glomeromycetes; Entrophosporales; Entrophosporaceae. The record is from RNAcentral.